GUCGAGCGAGCGGAACCACAGAUUUACUUCGGUAAUGACGUUGGGAAAGCGAGCGGCGGAUGGGUGAGUAACACGUGGGGAACCUGCCCCUAAGUCUGGGAUACCAUUUGGAAACAGGUGCUAAUACCGGAUAAUAAAGCGGAUCGCAUGAUCAGCUUUUGAAAGGCGGCGUAAGCUGUCGCUAAGGGAUGGCCCCGCGGUGCAUUAGCUAGUUGGUAAGGUAACGGCUUACCAAGGCGACGAUGCAUAGCCGAGUUGAGAGACUGAUCGGCCACAUUGGGACUGAGACACGGCCCAAACUCCUACGGGAGGCAGCAGUAGGGAAUCUUCCACAAUGGACGCAAGUCUGAUGGAGCAACGCCGCGUGAGUGAAGAAGGUUUUCGGAUCGUAAAGCUCUGUUGUUGGUGAAGAAGGAUAGAGGUAGUAACUGGCCUUUAUUUGACGGUAAUCAACCAGAAAGUCACGGCUAACUACGUGCCAGCAGCCGCGGUAAUACGUAGGUGGCAAGCGUUGUCCGGAUUUAUUGGGCGUAAAGCGAGCGCAGGCGGAAAAAUAAGUCUAAUGUGAAAGCCCUCGGCUUAACCGAGGAACUGCAUCGGAAACUGUUUUUCUUGAGUGCAGAAGAGGAGAGUGGAACUCCAUGUGUAGCGGUGGAAUGCGUAGAUAUAUGGAAGAACACCAGUGGCGAAGGCGGCUCUCUGGUCUGCAACUGACGCUGAGGCUCGAAAGCAUGGGUAGCGAACAGGAUUAGAUACCCUGGUAGUCCAUGCCGUAAACGAUGAGUGCUAAGUGUUGGGAGGUUUCCGCCUCUC
Molecule: ribosomal RNA, 813 nt
Filed under: uncultured bacterium
Lineage: Bacteria
Description: bacterial SSU rRNA
Rfam family: Bacterial small subunit ribosomal RNA
Source: RNAcentral